RNAcentral lists this ribosomal RNA (393 nucleotides) under uncultured bacterium. RNAcentral describes it as "partial 16S ribosomal RNA". It matches the Rfam family "Bacterial small subunit ribosomal RNA", at positions 523 to 918 of the family's 1533-position model. The record is from RNAcentral.
AUACGGAGGAUCCGAGCGUUAUCCGGAUUUAUUGGGUUUAAAGGGAGCGUAGGUGGACAGUUAAGUCAGUUGUGAAAGUUUGCGGCUCAACCGUAAAAUUGCAGUUGAUACUGGCUGUCUUGAGUACAGUAGAGGUGGGCGGAAUUCGCGGUGUAGCGGUGAAAUGCUUAGAUAUCACGAAGAACUCCGAUUGCGAAGGCAGCUCACUGGACUGCAACUGACACUGAUGCUCGAAAGUGUGGGUAUCAAACAGGAUUAGAUACCCUGGUAGUCCACACAGUAAACGAUGAAUACUCGCUGUUUGCGAUAUACAGUAAGCGGCCAAGCGAAAGCAUUAAGUAUUCCACCUGGGGAGUACGCCGGCAACGGUGAAACUCAAAGGAAUUGACGGGG